RNAcentral lists this ribosomal RNA (440 nucleotides) under uncultured bacterium. RNAcentral's name for it is "partial 16S ribosomal RNA". It matches the Rfam family "Bacterial small subunit ribosomal RNA", at positions 338 to 795 of the family's 1533-position model. The record is from RNAcentral.
CCUACGGGGGGCAGCAGUGGGGAAUAUUGCACAAUGGGGGAAACCCUGAUGCAGCGAAGCCGCGUGAGUGAAGACGUAUCUCGGUAUGUAAAGCUCUAUCAGCAGGGAAGAAAAUGACGGUACCUGACUAAGAAGCCCCGGCUAACUACGAGCCAGCAGCCGCGGGAAUAUGCAGGGGGCAAGCGUUAUACGGAUUUACUGGGUGUAAAGGGAGCGUAGACGGGGCUGCAAGUCCGGAGUGAAAGACUAUGGCUUAACCAUGGUACUGCUCUGGAAACUGUGGAGCUUGAGUGCGGGAGGGGCAGGCGGAAUGCCUGGUGUAGCGGUGAAAUGCGUAGAUAUUAGGAAGAACACCGGCGGCGAAGGCAGCCUACUGGACCGUAACUGACGUUGAGGCUCGAAAGCGUGGGGAGCAAACAGGAUUAGAUACCCGUGUAGUC